CCUUAUUAGGUGAAGUCAAUGAUCCCAUGCUGCCAAGAAAAGCCUCUAGCGAGCUUCGAGCGGCCCGUACCCCAAACCGACACAGGUGGUCAGGUAGAGAAUACCGAGGCGAUCGGGCGAACUGUGGUUAAGGAACUCGGCAAAUUACCCCCGUAACUUCGGGAGAAGGGGGGCCACAGACUGUCAUACCCCACGCGGGUGGCAGCAGUAGGUGGCCGCAGAGACCAGGGGGAAGCGACUGUUUACUAAAAACACAGGUCCGUGCGAAGUCGUAAGACGAUGUAUACGGACUGACGCCUGCCCGGUGCUGGAACGUUAAGGGGACCGGUUAGUCCGCAAGGGCGAAGCUGAGAACUUAAGCGCCAGUAAACGGCGGUGGUAACUAUAACCAUCCUAAGGUAGCGAAAUUCCUUGUCGGGUAAGUUCCGACCUGCACGAAUGGCGUAACGACUUCCCUACUGUCUCAACCACAGGCCCGGCGAAAUUGCACUACGAGUAAAGAUGCUCGUUACGCGCGGAAGGACGGAAAGACCCCGGGACCUUCACUAUAGCUUGACAUUGGUAUCCGAAUUUAAUUGUGUAGGAUAGGUGGGAGGCUUUGAUCCGCGGACGCCAGUCCGUCGGGGAGCCAACGUUGAAAUACCACUCUGUUGACUUUGGGUAUCUAACUUCGGACCGUGAUCCGGUUCAGGGACAGUGUCUGGUGGGUAGUUUAACUGGGGCGGUUGCCUCCUAAAAUGUAACGGAGGCGCCCAAAGGUUCCCUCAGCCUGGUUGGCAAUCAGGUGUUGAGUGCAAGUGCACAAGGGAGCUUGACUGUGAGACUGACAGGUCGAGCAGGGACGAAAGUCGGGACUAGUGAUCCGGCACCUGCGAGUGGAAGCGGUGUCGCUCAACGGAUAAAAGGUACCCCGGGGAUAACAGGCUGAUCUUCCCCAAGAGUCCAUAUCGACGGGAUGGUUUGGCACCUCGAUGUCGGCUCGUCGCAUCCUGGGGCUGGAGUAGGUCCCAAGGGUUGGGCUGUUCGCCCACUAAAGCGGCACGCGAGCUGGGUUUAGAACGUCGUGAGACAGUUCGGUCCCUAUCCUCCGCGCGCGUAGGAGACUUGAGAAGAGCUGUCCCUAGUACGAGAGGACCGGGACGGACGAACCUCUGGUGUGCCAGUUGUCAUGCCAAUGGCACGGCUGGUUAGCUACGUUCGGAAGGGAUAACCGCUGAAAGCAUCUAAGCGGGAAGCUCGCUUCAAGAUGAGGUCUCCCACCCCUUAGAGGGUUAAGGCCCCCAGCUAGACCACUGGGUUGAUAGGCCAGAAGUGUAAGCCUGGUAACAGGUUCAGCCGACUGGUACUAAUAGGCCGAGGACUUCACCG
This 1368-nucleotide ribosomal RNA is filed under the name metagenome. RNAcentral describes it as "bacterial LSU rRNA". It matches the Rfam family "Bacterial large subunit ribosomal RNA", at positions 1575 to 2925 of the family's 2925-position model. The record is from RNAcentral.